AAGGAAUCAGUGAACUACCCACAGGGCUGCAGGUGGAGGACGUAGUAACAAUUGUGGGAAGCAUAAUGUUACCACAACCAGUUGGGGACCUACUACAAAGAGGACCGGCAUGCGCUACCAAGGUGGGGACGGGGCCAAUCGACAACGUACCGAUGGUGGAGGACCUGCUACUAAAUGUGCAAGAGGGUGACAGCACCAAGCGGGAAUGCAGAUGGCAAUAUGUGGGAGAAGUGUCAGGAACGGGGGGCGGGAGCAACGGGCGGGGCGGCACUGCCUAUGGGGAGGGCCUCAGAGGGGCUG
RNAcentral lists this long non-coding RNA (300 nucleotides) under Androctonus crassicauda. Lineage: Eukaryota; Metazoa; Arthropoda; Arachnida; Scorpiones; Buthidae. The record is from RNAcentral.